UCGGGAAUUUUGGGCAAUGGGCGAAAGCCUGACCCAGCAACGCCGCGUGAGGGAUGAAGUAUUUCGGUAUGUAAACCUCGAAAGAAUAGGAAGAAUAAAUGACGGUACUAUUUAUAAGCUCCGGCUAACUACGUGCCAGCAGCCGCGGUAAUACGUAGGGAGCAAGCGUUGUUCGGAUUUACUGGGCGUAAAGGGCGCGUAGGCGGCCUGACAGGUCACUUGUGAAAUCUCCGAGCUUAACUCGGAACGGUCAAGUGAAACCAAUAGGCUAGAGUGCAGAAGGGGCAAUCGGAAUUCUUGGUGUAGCGGUGAAAUGCGUAGAUAUCAAGAGGAACACCUGAGGUGAAGACGGGUUGCUGGGCUGACACUGACGCUGAGGCGCGAAAGCCAGGGGAGCAAACGGGAUUAGAAACCCUGGUAG
This 421-nucleotide ribosomal RNA is filed under the name uncultured bacterium. RNAcentral's name for it is "bacterial SSU rRNA". It matches the Rfam family "Bacterial small subunit ribosomal RNA", at positions 355 to 793 of the family's 1533-position model. The record is from RNAcentral.